This is a long non-coding RNA of Bos taurus (domestic cattle), 1170 nucleotides long. The record is from Ensembl. NCBI's taxonomy places the organism in Eukaryota, Metazoa, Chordata, Mammalia, Artiodactyla, Bovidae.
AAUCCAAGGACUGUGUGAUGAAUUGCCAGUAGAGGAACCUUCCAUUUUCAUUUAGACAAUCAUUUCUUGCCUCUACUCUUUAAAAAAAGAGCUAACAUCAUUCCUCUCAGUGUCUUGAGCCCAUAAACCGGAAGACCUGAUAGCUGUGAGCUUCAGAAUUUCUAUCUGGUCUCUGAUACCCCCCACCUUAAGUCUCCUCCUCAUCCUCUCUCUCCUCGUGCUUGGCUUCCAUGAAGAGCAGUUGCAGGGAAGGAAAAGGAGCGGGGCUUGCCUCCUUUCGUGGUCUUGAUGACACCGCACCUGGGAUUCAUUCUGGACAACCUACACAGGGAGUCACAUGUGUUCAGAGUGUAUUAAGAAGAACAGUUAACUUUCAGCUCAGGAACUCAGACAUCAGGAUCAUUGAUGUAGCGUUGAAGGCUGGAUUUUUCUACAGUGACCGUGGUUACAGGCAGGCUACUCUCUUUUCUUGACCUGUUAAAAUGCUUCUAUUCAGGAAUGAUUUUUCAAAUGUAAAAUUCCUUAGAAGAAAUAAAAGAACAUCUAUCUCUGUGAAGUGAAGUGAAAGUCAUGUCCAACUCUUUUCGACUCCAUGGACUGUGCCCAUGGAAUUCUCCAUGCCAAAAUACUGGGUGUUUACAUGGUUCUACUUCUGCUAAAAGGAAGCCAUUAGCAGCUAAUGCUUCAUUUUUCAUGCAUGCGCAAGAAGUGAAAGGAGUUUGGAAGAGCAGUCAUUGCAUCUAAAUGAAAAAUUAAGCUUCGCAGAGUGAUGAAAACACAACUUGUGCAGCUUCUAGUGUCAAAUGAUCAUCUCUGAGCAUGAGCUACUUAAAAUAAUAAACUUUUGAAGCAAAUGCUGGUGUUUCUUCAGCAAAUUUCUGUUCUCUGGCUUUCCUGUGGCCAACAAUGGCAUUAUGAUAUCCCCAAAGUGAAAGCAAGGUACCAACAAAUAUUUUAUACAAGUUAUACAUUAAUCUACAAUUUUAAUACUUUUUCAUUUUCUGUAAAAAUAUACUUUGAUCCUUUGAAGCUGACUGCUCCCCAAAGAGAUUAUUGUAAAAGAAAAAAUGUUUACCCAACAAUGCAAAAAAUGCUUGUUGCAGAUAGCAAUUUGUGGUAAAUGACAAAACCACUGUAAAAAAGAAUAUUCAAACUAUAGUUCCUACACUC